This 253-nucleotide ribosomal RNA is filed under the name uncultured bacterium. RNAcentral's name for it is "partial 16S ribosomal RNA". It matches the Rfam family "Bacterial small subunit ribosomal RNA", at positions 524 to 776 of the family's 1533-position model. The record is from RNAcentral.
UACGUAGGGUGCAAGCGUUGUCCGGAAUUAUUGGGCGUAAAGAGCUCGUAGGCGGCUUGUCACGUCUGCUGUGAAAACUCGGGGCUCAACCCCGAGCCUGCAGUGGAUACGGGCUAGCUAGAGUGCGGUAGGGGAGACUGGAAUUCCUGGUGUAGCGGCGAAAUGCGCAGAUAUCAGGAGGAACACCGGUGGCGAAGGCGGGUCUCUGGACCGAUACUGACGCUGAGGGGCGAAAGCGUGGGGAGCGAACAGG